UUAAGUUAUUAAGGGCGCACGGUGGAUGCCUUGGCACUAGAAGCCGAUGAAGGACGUUACUAACGACGAUAUGCUUUGGGGAGCUGUAAGUAAGCUUUGAUCCAGAGAUUUCCGAAUGGGGAAACCCAGCAUGAGUUAUGUCAUGUUAUCGAUAUGUGAAUACAUAGCAUAUCAGAAGGCACACCCGGAGAACUGAAACAUCUUAGUACCCGGAGGAAGAGAAAGAAAAUUCGAUUCCCUUAGUAGCGGCGAGCGAAACGGGAAGAGCCCAAACCAACAAGCUUGCUUGUUGGGGUUGUAGGACACUCUAUACGGAGUUACAAAGGACGACAUUAGACGAAUCAUCUGGAAAGAUGAAUCAAAGAAGGUAAUAAUCCUGUAGUCGAAAAUGUUGUCUCUCUUGAGUGGAUCCUGAGUACGACGGAGCACGUGAAAUUCCGUCGGAAUCUGGGAGGACCAUCUCCUAAGGCUAAAUACUCUCUAGUGACCGAUAGUGAACCAGUACCGUGAGGGAAAGGUGAAAAGCACCCCGGAAGGGGAGUGAAAUAGAACCUGAAACCGUGUGCUUACAAGUAGUCAGAGCCCGUUAAUGGGUGAUGGCGUGCCUUUUGUAGAAUGAACCGGCGAGUUACGAUUUGAUGCAAGGUUAAGCAGUAAAUGUGGAGCCGUAGCGAAAGCGAGUCUGAAUAGGGCGUUUAGUAUUUGGUCGUAGACCCGAAACCAGGUGAUCUACCCUUGGUCAGGUUGAAGUUCAGGUAACACUGAAUGGAGGACCGAACCGACUUACGUUGAAAAGUGAGCGGAUGAACUGAGGGUAGCGGAGAAAUUUCAAUCGAACCUGGAGAUAGCUGGUUCUCUCCGAAAUAGCUUUAGGGCUAGCCUCAAGUGAUGAUUAUUGGAGGUAGAGCACUGUUUGGACGAGGGGCCCCUCUCGGGUUACCGAAUUCAGACAAACUCCGAAUGCCAAUUAAUUUAACUUGGGAGUCAGAACAUGGGUGAUAAGGUCCGUGUUCGAAAGGGAAACAGCCCAGACCACCAGCUAAGGUCCCAAAAAUAUAUGUUAAGUGGAAAAGGAUGUGGCGUUGCCCAGACAACUAGGAUGUUGGCUUAGAAGCAGCCAUCAUUUAAAGAGUGCGUAAUAGCUCACUAGUCGAGUGACACUGCGCCGAAAAUGUACCGGGGCUAAACAUAUUACCGAAGCUGUGGAUUGUCCUUUGGACAAUGGUAGGAGAGCGUUCUAAGGGCGUUGAAGCAUGAUCGUAAGGACAUGUGGAGCGCUUAGAAGUGAGAAUGCCGGUGUGAGUAGCGAAAGACGGGUGAGAAUCCCGUCCACCGAUUGACUAAGGUUUCCAGAGGAAGGCUCGUCCGCUCUGGGUUAGUCGGGUCCUAAGCUGAGGCCGACAGGCGUAGGCGAUGGAUAACAGGUUGAUAUUCCUGUACCACCUAUAAUCGUUUUAAUCGAUGGGGGGACGCAGUAGGAUAGGCGAAGCGUGCGAUUGGAUUGCACGUCUAAGCAGUAAGGCUGAGUAUUAGGCAAAUCCGGUACUCGUUAAGGCUGAGCUGUGAUGGGGAGAAGACAUUGUGUCUUCGAGUCGUUGAUUUCACACUGCCGAGAAAAGCCUCUAGAUAGAAAAUAGGUGCCCGUACCGCAAACCGACACAGGUAGUCAAGAUGAGAAUUCUAAGGUGAGCGAGCGAACUCUCGUUAAGGAACUCGGCAAAAUGACCCCGUAACUUCGGGAGAAGGGGUGCUCUUUAGGGUUAACGCCCAGAAGAGCCGCAGUGAAUAGGCCCAAGCGACUGUUUAUCAAAAACACAGGUCUCUGCUAAACCGUAAGGUGAUGUAUAGGGGCUGACGCCUGCCCGGUGCUGGAAGGUUAAGAGGAGUGGUUAGCUUCUGCGAAGCUACGAAUCGAAGCCCCAGUAAACGGCGGCCGUAACUAUAACGGUCCUAAGGUAGCGAAAUUCCUUGUCGGGUAAGUUCCGACCCGCACGAAAGGCGUAACGAUUUGGGCACUGUCUCAACGAGAGACUCGGUGAAAUCAUAGUACCUGUGAAGAUGCAGGUUACCCGCGACAGGACGGAAAGACCCCGUGGAGCUUUACUGUAGCCUGAUAUUGAAAUUCGGCACAGCUUGUACAGGAUAGGUAGGAGCCUUUGAAACGUGAGCGCUAGCUUACGUGGAGGCGCUGGUGGGAUACUACCCUAGCUGUGUUGGCUUUCUAACCCGCACCACUUAUCGUGGUGGGAGACAGUGUCAGGCGGGCAGUUUGACUGGGGCGGUCGCCUCCUAAAAGGUAACGGAGGCGCUCAAAGGUUCCCUCAGAAUGGUUGGAAAUCAUUCAUAGAGUGUAAAGGCAUAAGGGAGCUUGACUGCGAGACCUACAAGUCGAGCAGGGUCGAAAGACGGACUUAGUGAUCCGGUGGUUCCGCAUGGAAGGGCCAUCGCUCAACGGAUAAAAGCUACCCCGGGGAUAACAGGCUUAUCUCCCCCAAGAGUUCACAUCGACGGGGAGGUUUGGCACCUCGAUGUCGGCUCAUCGCAUCCUGGGGCUGUAGUCGGUCCCAAGGGUUGGGCUGUUCGCCCAUUAAAGCGGUACGCGAGCUGGGUUCAGAACGUCGUGAGACAGUUCGGUCCCUAUCCGUCGUGGGCGUAGGAAAUUUGAGAGGAGCUGUCCUUAGUACGAGAGGACCGGGAUGGACAUACCUCUGGUGUACCAGUUGUCGUGCCAACGGCAUAGCUGGGUAGCUAUGUGUGGACGGGAUAAGUGCUGAAAGCAUCUAAGCAUGAAGCCCCCCUCAAGAUGAGAUUUCCCAACUUCGGUUAUAAGAUCCCUCAAAGAUGAUGAGGUUAAUAGGUUCGAGGUGGAAGCAUGGUGACAUGUGGAGCUGACGAAUACUAAUCGAUCGAAGACUUAAUCAA
This 2922-nucleotide ribosomal RNA is filed under the name Staphylococcus aureus. RNAcentral's name for it is "bacterial LSU rRNA". It matches the Rfam family "Bacterial large subunit ribosomal RNA". Lineage: Bacteria; Bacillati; Bacillota; Bacilli; Caryophanales; Staphylococcaceae. The record is from RNAcentral.